Apis dorsata (giant honeybee) is the source of this 395-nucleotide long non-coding RNA. RefSeq lists it as uncharacterized. The record is from RefSeq and is a predicted model, not a curated record. NCBI's taxonomy places the organism in Eukaryota, Metazoa, Arthropoda, Insecta, Hymenoptera, Apidae. The transcript has 2 exons.
UGUCUUCCAUUGUCUCUGGACAAAUAUAAAAUAAAAUUCACGAGACACGGUCUCGUGGAACGUGAAAGUUUUGCCGAAGACGAGUCGGCCGGAAGCGGCGUCGAUCACGAUCGCGGAUCACGAUUCACGGACGUUUGCUCGUGAACGAGGAUGCAGGAGAGGAACGUGAGAGAACCUACUUUGGAGAACCACUGUCGCUUCCCUUUCCUCCUCCUCCUCCUCUACUACUUCGUUGCCCUGACAUUUCCAAGACUUUCUACUUCUAUGAGGGUUCACCGACCCCGUCGUGUUCGGUUUACGAUCUCGAGAGAUCGUGGCUUCCAACCGUCGCGACAUUUUCCAUGGACAAUCUUAGCAAUGCCAAUCUGCCCUUUUUAUUCAAAUGUCACGUUCGA